Molecule: small nucleolar RNA, 126 nt
Organism: Chionomys nivalis (European snow vole)
Lineage: Eukaryota; Metazoa; Chordata; Mammalia; Rodentia; Cricetidae
Product: small nucleolar RNA SNORA40
Exons: 1
Source: RefSeq, a predicted model, not a curated record
AGUAUUUGUGUGAGAUUUUGCCGAACUUGUGAUCAAAAGCUUAAAGGCAAGUGCAAAAAUAAAUCCUCUUUGGCAAUUCAGAAUUCAGUACUCAGCAUGAGUUUUACAUGCAUAAGACAGAUGAUC